GGGGUUUCCUUACGGGGGGGGCAGCAGUGGGGAAUUUUGCGCAAUGGGGGCAACCCUGACGCAGCGACGCCGCGUGAGUGACGAAGGCCUUAGGGUUGUAAAACUCUGUUUAGGGGGAAGAUAGUGACGGUACCCCUGGAGGAAGCCCCGGCUAAUUACGUGCCAGCAGCCGCGGUAAGACGUAGGGGGCGAGCGUUUUCCGGAAUUACUGGGCGUAAAGGGCGUGUAGGCGGCCUGUAAAGUCAGCUGUGAAAUCCCUCGGCUCAACUGAGGGCUUGCAGUUGAAACUACCAGGCUUGAGUGCAGGAGAGGAAGGUGGAAUUCCCAGUGUAGCGGUGAAAUGUGUAGAUAUCGGGAGGAACACCGGUGGCGAAGGCGGCCUUCUGGCCCAUAACUGACGCUGAGGCGCGAAAGCUAGGGGAGCAAACAGGAUUAGAUACCCUGGUAGUCCUAGCUGUAAACGAUGGCUACUAGGUGUAGGGGGUUUAGACCCCCUCUGUGCCGUAGCUAACGCAUUAAGUACUCCGC
RNAcentral lists this ribosomal RNA (528 nucleotides) under uncultured bacterium. RNAcentral's name for it is "bacterial SSU rRNA". It matches the Rfam family "Bacterial small subunit ribosomal RNA", at positions 330 to 872 of the family's 1533-position model. The record is from RNAcentral.